This 251-nucleotide ribosomal RNA is filed under the name uncultured bacterium. RNAcentral's name for it is "partial 16S ribosomal RNA". It matches the Rfam family "Bacterial small subunit ribosomal RNA", at positions 1251 to 1500 of the family's 1533-position model. The record is from RNAcentral.
GAGAUCGAGAGAUGGAGCAAAUCCCAAAAAUAAACGUCCCAGUUCGGACUGUAGUCUGCAACCCGACUACACGAAGCUGGAAUCGCUAGUAAUCGCGGAUCAGAAUGCCGCGGUGAAUACGUUCCCGGGUCUUGUACACACCGCCCGUCACACCAUGGGAGUCAGUAACGCCCGAAGUCAGUGACCUAACCGAAAGGGAGGAGCUGCCGAAGGCGGGACGGAUGACUGGGGUGAAGUCGUAACAAGGUAAC